This 484-nucleotide ribosomal RNA is filed under the name uncultured bacterium. RNAcentral's name for it is "partial 16S ribosomal RNA". It matches the Rfam family "Bacterial small subunit ribosomal RNA", at positions 30 to 507 of the family's 1533-position model. The record is from RNAcentral.
AUUGAACGCUGGCGGCAGGCCUAACACAUGCAAGUCGAGCGGAUGAAGGGAGCUUGCUCCUGGAUUCAGCGGCGGACGGGUGAGUAAUGCCUAGGAAUCUGCCUGGUAGUGGGGGAUAACGUCCGGAAACGGGCGCUAAUACCGCAUACGUCCUGAGGGAGAAAGUGGGGGAUCUUCGGACCUCACGCUAUCAGAUGAGCCUAGGUCGGAUUAGCUAGUUGGUGGGGUAAAGGCCUACCAAGGCGACGAUCCGUAACUGGUCUGAGAGGAUGAUCAGUCACACUGGAACUGAGACACGGUCCAGACUCCUACGGGAGGCAGCAGUGGGGAAUAUUGGACAAUGGGCGAAAGCCUGAUCCAGCCAUGCCGCGUGUGGGAAGAAGGUCUUCGGAUUGUAAAGCACUUUAAGUUGGGAGGAAGGGAAGUAAGUUAAUACCUUGCUGUUUUGACGUUACCAACAGAAUAAGCACCGGCUAACUUCGUG